UGAGUAACCUGCCCUUCACUCUGGGAUAACUCCGGGAAACCGGGGCUAAUACUGGAUAUGACUCGAACAGGCAUCUGUUUCGGGUGGAAAGAUUUAUUGGUGGAGGGAUGGACUCGCGGCCUAUCAGCUAGUUGGUGGGGUGAUGGCCUACCAAGGCGACGACGGGUAGCCGGCCUGAGAGGGCGACCGGCCACACUGGGACUGAGACACGGCCCAGACUCCUACGGGAGGCA
This 233-nucleotide ribosomal RNA is filed under the name uncultured bacterium. RNAcentral's name for it is "partial 16S ribosomal RNA". It matches the Rfam family "Bacterial small subunit ribosomal RNA", at positions 118 to 350 of the family's 1533-position model. The record is from RNAcentral.